This 301-nucleotide ribosomal RNA is filed under the name uncultured bacterium. RNAcentral describes it as "partial 16S ribosomal RNA". It matches the Rfam family "Bacterial small subunit ribosomal RNA", at positions 509 to 807 of the family's 1533-position model. The record is from RNAcentral.
CAGCCGCCGCGGGAAUACGAAGGGUGCAAGCGUUACUCGGAAUUACUGGGCGUAAAGCGUGCGUAGGUGGUUGUUUAAGUCUGUUGUGAAAGCCCUGGGCUCAACCUGGGAAUUGCAGUGGAUACUGGGCAACUAGAGUGUGGUAGAGGGUAGUGGAAUUCCCGGUGUAGCAGUGAAAUGCGUAGAGAUCGGGAGGAACAUCCAUGGCGAAGGCAGCUACCUGGACCAACACUGACACUGAGGCACGAAAGCGUGGGGAGCAAACAGGAUUAGAUACCCCCGUAGUCCCUGUCUCUUAUAC